Trachemys scripta elegans is the source of this 202-nucleotide long non-coding RNA. RefSeq lists it as uncharacterized. The record is from RefSeq and is a predicted model, not a curated record. The transcript has 3 exons. NCBI's taxonomy places the organism in Eukaryota, Metazoa, Chordata, Testudines, Emydidae.
GGCUACAGAAGAUGUUUUCAUUCUGUGUGGCCUUGAUUGUUACAUGAGAGAGACAAGAUGGGUGAGGAUCCUUGCAAACAUGAUUUCUCUCUCUCUCGGUCUUCCCAGCCCCAAUAAGGCUAUUCCACCUGCAUACUAGAUGGGACAACAUGCAGAGCUGUGGCCCAGAAACAGCUUCACAUGGUGACAUGGUGGUUCCCCA